UGAUGAUUAGGUGUUGGCGUGUAAAUUUGGAUAUAAUAUUUUGGUAAUGAUGAAAUCUGCAGAGCAGCACUAUAAUUAAGUUUUGAUAAAAUUUUAAUUAAAAUGGUUUGCGACGGUGUGUGUUGCGACAUAUUUCAGUUUUACCUGAUUUUUCACUAUUUUAAAUUAAGGUGUGAAUGGUUAUGCAAUUAAGAUGGACUCAUCUGCUUACAACAAACCGUCA
Molecule: long non-coding RNA, 223 nt
Filed under: Capsella rubella
Lineage: Eukaryota; Viridiplantae; Streptophyta; Magnoliopsida; Brassicales; Brassicaceae
Description: long non-coding RNA (CRUB_LNC002079)
Source: RNAcentral